Molecule: ribosomal RNA, 499 nt
Filed under: uncultured bacterium
Lineage: Bacteria
Description: bacterial SSU rRNA
Rfam family: Bacterial small subunit ribosomal RNA
Source: RNAcentral
AGAGUAGUUUGAUCAGUGGCUACGAGGACGAACGCUGGCGGCGUGCCUAACACAUGCAAGUCGAGCGGGGUCCAUCCGGUAGCAAUACCGGGGAAGACCUAGCGGCGAACGGGUGAGUAACACGUGAGAAACCUGCCCCGAAGUCUGGGAUAACCCGAGGAAACUCGAGCUAAUACCGGAUGUCUUCUUCUGAUCGCAUGGUCGGAUGAAGAAAGAUUUAUCGCUUCGGGAGGGUCUCGCGGCCUAUCAGCUAGUUGGCGGGGUAAACGGGCCCACCAAAGGCGUCGACGGGUAGCUGGUCUGAGAGGACGAUCAGCCACACUGGGACUGAGACACGGCCCAGACUCCUACGGGAGGCAGCAGUGGGGAAUAUUGCGCAAUGGGCGAAAGCCUGACGCAGCAACGCCGCGUGCGGGAUGAAGGCCUUCGGGUUGUAAACCGCUUUCAGUGGGGACGAAUUCAGACGGUACCCACAGAAGAAGCCCCGGCCAACUACGUG